Molecule: small RNA, 648 nt
Filed under: Malus domestica (apple)
Lineage: Eukaryota; Viridiplantae; Streptophyta; Magnoliopsida; Rosales; Rosaceae
Description: sRNA MD05G0188700
Source: RNAcentral
AGAACUUCAUCAGAGGUUGGUGGGCGUCCUCAGUCACAGACAAACAAAACACAAAAAGAAAAGAGAAAAGAGCAAGAGAGAGAGAGAUACAGGAAGGGAAGAGAGCACACUGGCGUUGAUCGUACUGUCCAGAUCCACUGGUUUUCUGGAUCAGACGACCCGAAGCCAUGGCUUCCAAAGGUCCAGGGUCCAAGCUUGAUCAUGAACCCAGAGCUAAGCGCCAAAAGGUACAGCAGUGUAUGACAGUGCAUAUUGAUCCGGAUUUUCCUCAACUAUGACAUUCCUUUGAAGAUAGCAGAGGCUCAGUGCAACUUACUUGGUCGGAUGUAGAGGACCUCUCGGCGGACUGAUUAUAAUCUUGGUUGCCCCUUCUUGAAGAUACCCGCACAAUAUUAUACACAUAGGACCACACAUAAAAGUCUCCUACCUGAAGCAUGGACACAAUUACAUUACAAAAGGCAAAGAUAGGAAUCCCUGACAGCUGAACAAGGUAGCUACAUUGUAUUGAAGAGAAACAGUCACCAGAAUUCAAGAGGAAAAGAAGGACAAAAGAAAAUGUGUUCAGAAAAACGUAUUCUACACAGCAAGCAGGCGCACACAAACACCGUUUAAGAACUGGCCCUGGCCGUUUGGGGGUAGUACAAUUUG